This 1312-nucleotide long non-coding RNA is filed under the name Gallus gallus (chicken). RNAcentral describes it as "lncRNA (ENSGALG00010001080.1)". Lineage: Eukaryota; Metazoa; Chordata; Aves; Galliformes; Phasianidae. The record is from RNAcentral.
GGGGAUGCAAAUGGAUUUUGCUGUAGGUCCCUGCAUACUUGAGGCCUUCUGGAGGUGGGGAAUGAAAAUGGCAUCUCUAAGCCUUGAAGCAGAGAUCUCUAUCAUGUCAAGAUCCUUCCCUAUGAAGUUCAGAGCCAAGCCUUGUCUUCAGGGGACACAGAGACUCCUGCUACACCACAGUCACAGCCCAGAGAAAAGUGACAGCAAACUCAAUGCUGUUCUCAGCUUAUCUGCCAAGACUGAUGUAAUGCUGAAGAAGCUGAAGUUCAAUGACAGAAGCAGAAAGGAAAAAUUGUUUCCUAUCUAAAAUCAAAUAAAUGAAGUAUGAAACUACCCACUCAUCUUGACUUUCAUGAAGAAGAUCAGCACACACAAAAAAAGCUGUAAUUCUUAUGUUCGCACAAAAAAUUACAGAGACCAUGACCUUACAGCACUUGCCUUUGCUCAUUGCUUGCCCUGUGCUCAACACAUUGCUGAGGGCCCUUCUUGCAGUUUGUGCAGCAUGGCAGGGAAGGUACAGCAGCUCCCAUGUCAACUGGGGAGAAGUAAAAUGUAAUGACAGCUCUGAUGAAACUGCAGUAGCAAAUGGCCGCUUGAACUGCCUCAAAGCUUGCGUGAAGAGAACAGCUCUGAAGAUCCACAGCUUCACGUGCAACUUCUUUGUUGUCAGACCAACAUGAUGUGACAUUUAUAAGGAAUCUUCUGGGAACUGGGGGGGAUAUGCUGGAGCUUUUCCAUGUCCAGUAAACAGACUGCUUCCAGGGUGGAGCAUGAAUUUCUGCUUCAUGUGCUGAGUGAAGAUUGAUGAUUUGGAAGCCACUUUGCUUGAGCUUCCUGAACCUUUUAAGAAUCUCACAGAGUAAGAAGACAGAGUAUCAUUCUUCCAAGCUAAAAGCUCCUUUCAGGACUGGAGUGUGGAGGAAUCUUUGACUCCUUACCACCAAGACUCUGUGGAGGGUCGACUCAGAUCCUUACAGGACAUCUAGUCAUCUGCAGCUGCAUCCCUCUCCUCAGAAACUCCUAAGCAUUCCCAAACUAUUCUCUUUCCUCCAAGUUCUAGCAUUUCUUUCUACUAUUUCUUUAAUAUCUUCCCUGGCACUGUUAAUGUGUGCUGAGGAAACCUUUGGAAAAUUUAUUCUAGGAAACAGAAACAAUGUUUGGUAAACUACUGCGUUUUCUCACUUUGUUCACUUUUGACAUAGAUUUAAGCAUCUGAGUUAAAAGUUUAUUAUUUAUGUUUUCUUUGAAGAGAGGCAGGUCUCAGAACAACAACCUAACUAAGAUGUUUAAGAAACAUGUUAUUAAAUUACCU